AAGGAAGAUAAUGACGGUACUUGAGGAGGAAGCCCCGGCUAACUACGUGCCAGCAGCCGCGGUAAUACGUAGGGGGCUAGCGUUAUCCGGAUUUACUGGGCGUAAAGGGUGCGUAGGCGGUCUUUCACGUCAGGAGUGAAAGGCUACGGCUCAACCGUAGUAAGCUCUUGAAACUGGGAGACUUGAGUGCAGGAGAGGAGAGUGGAAUUCCUAGUGUAGCGGUGAAAUGCGUAGAUAUUAGGAGGAACACCAGUU
This 255-nucleotide ribosomal RNA is filed under the name Clostridioides difficile. RNAcentral describes it as "partial 16S ribosomal RNA". It matches the Rfam family "Bacterial small subunit ribosomal RNA", at positions 459 to 714 of the family's 1533-position model. The record is from RNAcentral. Lineage: Bacteria; Bacillati; Bacillota; Clostridia; Peptostreptococcales; Peptostreptococcaceae.